CCCUUAGAUGUUCUGGGCCGCACGCGCGCUACACUGGCAAGGCCAACGAGUUUAUAACCUUCACCGGUAGGUGUGGGUAAUCUUUUGAACCCUUGUCGUGCUGGGGCUAGAUCUUUGUAAUUUUCGAUCUUCAACGAGGAAUUCCUAGUAAGCGUGAUUCAUCAGAUCGCGUUGAUUACGUCCCUGCCCUUUGUACACACCGCCCGUCGCUCCUACCGAUCGAAGAGUUAGGUGAAUUGUUUUGAUCGAUAAGAUUUGACUAUGGUCAACUCUCGUUGUGAAAUUCUGUGAAUCUGACUGUUUAGAGGAAGGAAAAGUCGUAACA
RNAcentral lists this ribosomal RNA (325 nucleotides) under uncultured eukaryote. RNAcentral describes it as "partial 18S ribosomal RNA". It matches the Rfam family "Eukaryotic small subunit ribosomal RNA", at positions 1470 to 1796 of the family's 1831-position model. The record is from RNAcentral.